GAUGAACGCUGGCGGCGUGCUUAACACAUGCAAGUCGAACGAGAAGUGAAGACGGAAACCUUCGGGCGGAAGGCUUUAUUUCGAGUGGCGGACGGGUGAGUAACGCGUGGGUAACCUGCCUCAUACAGGGGGAUAACAGUUGGAAACGACUGUUAAUACCGCAUAAGACCACAGCACCGCAUGGUGCGGGGGUAAAAACUCCGGUGGUAUGAGAUGGACCCGCGUUCGAUUAGCCAGUUGGCGGGGUAACGGCCCACCAAAGCGACGAUCGAUAGCCGAUCUGAGAGGAUGACCGGCCACAUUGGGACUGAGACACGGCCCAAACUCCUACGGGAGGCAGCAGUGGGGAAUAUUGCACAAUGGGGGAAACCCUGAUGCAGCGACGCCGCGUGAGUGAAGAAGUAUUUCGGUAUGUAAAGCUCUAUCAGUAGGGAAGAAAAUGACGGUACCUGAGUAAGAAGCCCCGGCUAACUACGUG
This 478-nucleotide ribosomal RNA is filed under the name uncultured bacterium. RNAcentral's name for it is "partial 16S ribosomal RNA". It matches the Rfam family "Bacterial small subunit ribosomal RNA", at positions 28 to 507 of the family's 1533-position model. The record is from RNAcentral.